CCCUUAGAUGUUCUGGGCAGCACGCGCGCUACAAUGGUCUUCGCAAACGGAUGCAUUCUCGAAGGAGAAUGCCAAUCUUGGAAUCUAUGCCUUGGUCGGGACAGUUGCUUGCAAUUUUUCGACUCGAACCAGGAAUUCCUUGUAAUCGUGAUUCAUCACAUCACGAUGAAUACGUCCCUGCCCUUUGUACACACCGCCCGUCGCUCCUACCGAUUGAAUGGUCCGGUGAAAUCUUCGGAUUGCUGGAUAGGACUUCAUUGACCUAUCUGCGAGAAGUUGCUUGAACCUUAUCAUUUAGAGGAAGGAGAAGUCGUAACA
Molecule: ribosomal RNA, 318 nt
Filed under: uncultured eukaryote
Lineage: Eukaryota
Description: partial 18S ribosomal RNA
Rfam family: Eukaryotic small subunit ribosomal RNA
Source: RNAcentral